CCAAUAGCGUAUAUUAAAGUUGUUGCAGUUAAAAAGCUCGUAGUUGAAUUUCGGGGUUAGUAGGUUGGUCAUGCCACUGGUAUGUACUGGCCUUACUGAUUCCUCCUUCUUGAUGAACCGUAAUGUCAUUAAUUUGGUGUUGCGGGGAAUCAGGACUGUUACUUUGAAAAAAUUAGAGUGUUUAAAGCAAGCUAACGCUUGAAUACAUUAGCAUGGAAUAAUGAAAUAGGACGUUUGAUCCUAUUUUGUUGGUUUCUAGGAUUGACGUAAUGAUUAAUAGGGAUAGUUGGGGGCAUUAGUAUUCAAUUGUCAGAGGUGAAAUUCUUGGAUUUAUUGAAGACUAACUACUGCGAAAGCAUUUGCCAAGGAUGUUUUCAUUAAUCAAGAACGAAAGUUAGGGGAUCGAAGACGAUCAGAUACCGUCGUAGUCUUAACCAUAAACUAUGCCGACUAGGGAUCGGAUGAUGUUAAUUUUUUAAUGACUCAUUCGGCGCCUUACG
RNAcentral lists this ribosomal RNA (500 nucleotides) under uncultured Glomeromycotina. Its description in RNAcentral is "partial small subunit ribosomal RNA". It matches the Rfam family "Eukaryotic small subunit ribosomal RNA", at positions 591 to 1092 of the family's 1831-position model. The record is from RNAcentral. Lineage: Eukaryota; Fungi; Glomeromycota.